Molecule: long non-coding RNA, 684 nt
Organism: Lotus japonicus
Lineage: Eukaryota; Viridiplantae; Streptophyta; Magnoliopsida; Fabales; Fabaceae
Exons: 3
Source: RefSeq, a predicted model, not a curated record
UUUAUUUUUGAGUUAUUCACGGUUGUUUGUUCGUCCUUCUCUCUAAAUUCCAGAUCUGAGUGCAUUCCCAAGGAGCAAAUCGUGGGUGAGCAAUCCUUGGGUCAGUAAGCAAUCUAAAUCGCUUUAAAUGAUACUGAUUUUCUUUGAUUUUUUCUUACUUUUGAUUUAUCUUCUGUGUGUUUCUUCAAAUCAAGUUGGCUAUAAAUAUUCCCACAACCCUCCUCGAUUUUCAAACCUUCAAAUUCUUCAUGUUCAGUUUCCAUGUUUGCUUGUAUGAGUAAUAAGGUUCGCGAGUUAAUGAUUUGAGCUCUAAUUCUUUUACUUUUGCAUAAAUUAGCUGGUAUCAGAAACUUAUAAUGUAGCUUCUCAACCUCAUAAAAUUAUUUUUUGCAGAAAUCACAACAUUGAAAACUCACUUAGUUGCUAUCGAGAAGCUUUUGAUGUUGUUUUAUUGUAUAUAACGGACUUUGUAAGGAAGCCCUCCAACAAAAUCAUGUACCUGUUUAGUGUUUUCCUGCACUGCAGUUCAGCUAUGAAUAGUGCAGAGAUGCAUGGCUUUGGUCAUAGAAGGCUUUGAGGUGAAUUUUUGCUAAGCAGUAGUUUAAUUUUAUGCUUUUCCCCAGCAUGUUUCUUGACGCAAGUAGUGCUGCAUGUUGUACAUUUUCUUGUGUGUCUUGGAUUGUC